Odocoileus virginianus texanus is the source of this 256-nucleotide non-coding RNA. The record is from RefSeq and is a predicted model, not a curated record. NCBI's taxonomy places the organism in Eukaryota, Metazoa, Chordata, Mammalia, Artiodactyla, Cervidae.
UUUCAAAGGCAAUAUGGAGCAGUGAACAAGCACCAUCAAAGAAACUAGACAUAGAAAUCCAGAGACCCAGGGCAGCGCUACUGGGGAUGCAAGGACCAAAAAGAGGUGACACUCCUUCAGAGAGACUGAAGAAUGAGUGUCUGCAAAAGAACCGCUCACUCAGCCUUAGGCAUCGUAUAGCCCGGCUGGACCAUCACAUAUCUAUAAUUAGCGCCUUCAUCAUCAAUCAGCAAUUAUAGCAGAUGAGAAGAUAGAA